AGGAAUUUUUAUUUUUUUAAUUUAUUUAUUAUUUAUUUUUUAUUUUUUAUUUUUUUUUAGGAAUUUUUAAAAUAACAUGUUUUUCUAUAAAAUCUUAUGAAGAAUUCUCCACUGCAAUAUUUGAGGUGAUUGACAGAAGGAAAAACAAAUGAAAGAAAAUAAGUUUGCUGACAAAAAGAGGAAUUAGCUUCUACCAAACCUGCUGCAGCGACAUUUCCCCAGCCCACACAUGAUGUACUUUCUUAUCUAUUUGCCAGAAACUCAAGAUCAGAGCUAUUAAGAGCAAAUGUGUUAGUUCAUGCAUGUAAGAAGAGAUGCCAAGAUGGAAUUCAAUAGAAGAUUUAAUAGGGGAGAGACGGGAAAAUGCUGGAGAGCCUGCAGAUUCUGAUGUGGAUCUUACUCCUGUGUGAGGAGAGGGAGGAAUAAGAAGUAGAUUUCAAGAGUCUAUAAGCUCUUGAUGGGUGAGCUUGGUGGGAGCGCAGCUGAGUUGGUGGGAGAUCCUGAAUCUAAGUCUCCUGAUGGAGGAGUUCCAACUGUCACCGUAAUGGGCCUGCCUUAGUGCCGCGCAGAGUUCCAUUACUGGCUGAGAGCUACCAGAGAUGAGAAGGGCCUUGACACGACCAUGGUCGCCCAUCCAAAAGGGCAGGAGGUAGGAUCUUCCAUCAACUGUGCCUUCUACAGUUGGAAAUAUUAGCUGUGUAUUUUCAUGGCCAGCACACAUGGUUUUGGCAACACAGAUCCUAAGGAUAUCCAUGUGUUUUGGUAGUGGGAAAGCUCCAGAUUGUAAAUGAAUGAACAGACAAGCAGAUUACUUAUAUCUUGUUCAAUGUCCACUUACAUGUUGAACUCCCCUGUCACAUUCACAGAUAAAAAAGAGAGAGAAUGGCGGUGAGGAGCAGAAGAAGAAGGAGAGACCCAGGCACCCUGUUUUGAGGAUAAUAUUAAUGAAUUUUAGAACUUGAUUAAAAGUUGAGCUGAUUAUAGACUCACUGGCUGUCCCAGUCUGCAGAGUAUGUGACUUAAUUUUUGGGUUAUAAGUUUGAGUCCCACGUUGAGAU
Vulpes vulpes (red fox) is the source of this 1058-nucleotide long non-coding RNA. The record is from Ensembl. Lineage: Eukaryota; Metazoa; Chordata; Mammalia; Carnivora; Canidae.